AUACGAAUGGAGCAAGCGUUGUUCGGAAUCACUGGGCUUAAAGCGUAUGUAGGCGGAAACGAAAGUCAGGAGUGAAAUCCCAGGGCUCAACCCUGGAACUGCCUUUAAUACUGCUAGUCUUGAGUUCGAGAGAGGUAAGUGGAAUUCCGAGUGUAGAGGUGAAAUUCGUAGAUAUUCGGAGGAACACCAGUGGCGAAGGCGGCUUACUGGCUCGAUACUGACGCUGAGGUGCGAAAGUGUGGGGAGCAAACAGGAUUAGAUACCCUGGUAGUCCACGCCGUAAACGAUGUCUACUAGCCGUUGGGUUGUAAUGACUUAGUGGCGAAGCUAACGCGAAUAAGUAGACCGCCUGGGGAGUACGGCCGCGAGGUUAAAACUCAAAAUGAAUUGACGGGGGCCCGCACAAGCGGUGGAGCAUGUGGUUUAAUUCGAAGCAACGCGAAGAACCUUACCUACUCUUGACAUCCAUAGAAUUUAGCAGAGAUGCUUUAGUGCCUUCGGGAACGUAU
Molecule: ribosomal RNA, 509 nt
Filed under: uncultured Pseudomonadota bacterium
Lineage: Bacteria; Pseudomonadati; Pseudomonadota
Description: bacterial SSU rRNA
Rfam family: Bacterial small subunit ribosomal RNA
Source: RNAcentral